Molecule: ribosomal RNA, 715 nt
Filed under: Brucella anthropi
Lineage: Bacteria; Pseudomonadati; Pseudomonadota; Alphaproteobacteria; Hyphomicrobiales; Brucellaceae
Description: bacterial SSU rRNA
Rfam family: Bacterial small subunit ribosomal RNA
Source: RNAcentral
GGGCCCUUCGGGGUCAGCGGCAGACGGGUGAGUAACGCGUGGGAACGUACCAUUUGCUACGGAAUAACUCAGGGAAACUUGUGCUAAUACCGUAUGAGCCCCCCUUUAAAAUUUCAGGAAUCAUAAAAUGCCCUGGCAUUUUAUGGGGGGGAAAGAUUUAUCGGCAAAUGAUCGGCCCGCGUUGGAUUAGCUAGUUGGUGGGGUAAAGGCCUACCAAGGCGACGAUCCAUAGCUGGUCUGAGAGGAUGAUCAGCCACACUGGGACUGAGACACGGCCCAGACUCCUACGGGAGGCAGCAGUGGGGAAUAUUGGACAAUGGGCGCAAGCCUGAUCCAGCCAUGCCGCGUGAGUGAUGAAGGCCCUAGGGUUGUAAAGCUCUUUCACCGGUGAAGAUAAUGACGGUAACCGGAGAAGAAGCCCCGGCUAACUUCGUGCCAGCAGCCGCGGUAAUACGAAGGGGGCUAGCGUUGUUCGGAUUUACUGGGCGUAAAGCGCACGUAGGCGGGCUAAUAAGUCAGGGGUGAAAUCCCGGGGCUCAACCCCGGAACUGCCUUUGAUACUGUUAGUCUUGAGUAUGGUAGAGGUGAGUGGAAUUCCGAGUGUAAAGGUGAAAUUCGUAAAUAUUCGGAGGAACACCAGUGGCAAAGGCGGCUCACUGGACCAUUACUGACGCUGAGGUGCGAAAGCGUGGGGAGCAUACAGGAUUAAAUACCC